Molecule: ribosomal RNA, 254 nt
Filed under: uncultured bacterium
Lineage: Bacteria
Description: partial 16S ribosomal RNA
Rfam family: Bacterial small subunit ribosomal RNA
Source: RNAcentral
UACGUAGGGUGCAAGCGUUAAUCGGAAUUACUGGGCGUAAAGCGCGCGCAGGCGGCCUUUUAAGUCUCGUGGUGAAAUGCCGGGGCUCAACCCCGUGCCCGCCGGAGAUACUGGGAGGCUGGAGACAUGUAGAGGCAAGCGGAAUUCCGGGUGUAGCGGUGGAAUGCGUAGAGAUCCGGAAGAACACCGGAGGCGAAGGCGGCUUGCUGGGCAUUGUCUGACGCUGAGGCGCGAAAGCGUGGGGAGCGAACAGG